AGACAGGUUAGUUUUACCCUACUGAUGACCGUCGCCUCAAUGGUAAUUCCGCUUAGUACGAGAGGAACCGCGGAUUCAGAUAAUUGGUUUUUGCGGCUGUCUGACCAGGCAGUGCCGCGAAGCUACCAUCUGCUGGAUUAUGGCUGAACGCCUCUAAGUCAGAAUCCAUGCCAGAACGGGGUGAUUCUCCCCUGCACAUCGUACUCGGAUACGAAUAGG
RNAcentral lists this ribosomal RNA (219 nucleotides) under Haptolina brevifila. Its description in RNAcentral is "partial Eukaryotic large subunit ribosomal RNA". It matches the Rfam family "Eukaryotic large subunit ribosomal RNA", at positions 2976 to 3196 of the family's 3401-position model. The record is from RNAcentral. Lineage: Eukaryota; Haptophyta; Prymnesiales; Prymnesiaceae.